This 549-nucleotide ribosomal RNA is filed under the name Triticum aestivum (bread wheat). RNAcentral's name for it is "partial small subunit ribosomal RNA". Lineage: Eukaryota; Viridiplantae; Streptophyta; Magnoliopsida; Poales; Poaceae. The record is from RNAcentral.
AUGUCAUCCAUGAUAUAUGAGCUUGUUCACUUCCUUAGCAAAUUUGUUAUGAUCUACCUUGAUGGCAUUUUCAUACAUCAUGAUCAUUUUGUCAACCAUCAAUUGCAUGAUGACAUUCACAUAUUGAAAAUCCAUUGCUAUGUUCAUGCUUUUGAUACACCAUCUCAUUAUGACAUCAUUUUGCAUCGUGGUUGCAUUGCUCAUAUUCAUAACUCAAUUGUGUGCACAAUGAUUGCAUUUCCUCCCAUGAAUGCGUUGCAUCUCAUUAUAGAUCAUCUUGAUAAGUUUCAUGUGCUUUGUCACGACCAAUCUUGCCGCACGGACUCAUUCUUGCAUGAUGGACACUUUGUGUGCGCUAACCAUUGUAUUUCCGAGUGUUGCUUGUGUUUGCUCUUUUUGCAUGUCUAUCACUCCGGCGACACCUUGGACUACUCGGAUGGCGCCAUAUCUUCAACUUCGUCCAACUACAAGUUCGUUUACGACAACCGUUUCCAUGGUGAUGAGGAUCACGAUCCGAGAUCUGAUCUUUCCCAAGGGGGGGGGAGAUGA